GCAUCAGUGGUGUAGUGGUAACAUACAACUCUUCCAUCUUAACUGAUAAGUUGUGCCAGGGGUUCGAUUCCCCUCUGACGCA
Non-coding RNA from Aspergillus tanneri, 82 nucleotides. The record is from the annotation of a RefSeq genome assembly. Lineage: Eukaryota; Fungi; Ascomycota; Eurotiomycetes; Eurotiales; Aspergillaceae.